RNAcentral lists this ribosomal RNA (461 nucleotides) under uncultured bacterium. RNAcentral's name for it is "bacterial SSU rRNA". It matches the Rfam family "Bacterial small subunit ribosomal RNA", at positions 330 to 805 of the family's 1533-position model. The record is from RNAcentral.
UGCGAACUCCUACGGGAGGCAGCAGUGGGGAAUAUUGCACAAUGGGCGCAAGCCUGAUGCAGCGACGCCGCGUGAGGGAUGACGGCCUUCGGGUUGUAAACCUCUGUUAGCAUCGAAGAAGCGAAAGUGACGGUAGGUGCAGAGAAAGCGCCGGCUAACUACGUGCCAGCAGCCGCGGUAAUACGUAGGGCGCGAGCGUUGUCCGGAAUUAUUGGGCGUAAAGAGCUUGUAGGCGGUUUGUCGCGUCUGCUGUGAAAGGCCGGAGCUUAACUCCGUGUAUUGCAGUGGGUACGGGCAGACUAGAGUGCAGUAGGGGAGACUGGAAUUCCUGGUGUAGCGGUGGAAUGCGCAGAUAUCAGGAGGAACACCGAUGGCGAAGGCAGGUCUCUGGGCUGUAACUGACGCUGAGAAGCGAAAGCAUGGGGAGCGAACAGGAUUAGAAACCCCGGUAGUCCAGAGAA